GGAAAACUUACCAGGUCCAGACAUAGUGAGGAUUGACAGAUUGAGAGCUCUUUCUUGAUUCUAUGGGUGGUGGUGCAUGGCCGUUCUUAGUUGGUGGAUUGAUUUGUCUGCUUAAUUGCGUUAACGAACGAGACCCCCGCCUGCUAAAUAGGUCCGUGAAUGAAUUUCAUUGACGAGAUCUUCUUAGAGGGACUUUUGGUGACUAACCAAAGGAAGUUGGGGGCAAUAA
Molecule: ribosomal RNA, 229 nt
Filed under: uncultured eukaryote
Lineage: Eukaryota
Description: partial small subunit ribosomal RNA
Rfam family: Eukaryotic small subunit ribosomal RNA
Source: RNAcentral